This is an RNA transcript of Populus nigra (black poplar), 4620 nucleotides long. RefSeq lists it as uncharacterized. The transcript is spliced from 6 exons. The record is from RefSeq and is a predicted model, not a curated record. Lineage: Eukaryota; Viridiplantae; Streptophyta; Magnoliopsida; Malpighiales; Salicaceae.
AAAUGAAAAAUCAACACGUUUCAAUUUCCAUCCAUUCGAGUGUCAACUUAUCAUACCUCAUCACCAAGCUGACAGAGGAGGAGCCACUAGUGUCCGAGUAUCAUCACCAUUUUCCGGGAAAAAAAGAAAUAAAAGAAAAGAAACAAACACACAACUCAAAACAGAAAGUUAAAGAAACAAAUUAUUUAUUUGCUAAAUUUCGAUUCAAUCAAGUUACAGCAACAAUAAAAUGAAGUACAGUUAUGUAGUCUUAUCCUUGAAUCCGAGUUAUGGAGGUCGGUGGUUGAGCAGCAGCAGCUCCGAGUCGACUCGGCCUGAGUUCACUGGCGAGAACGCGUAUGAUAUCUUAGGAGUUUCGGAGAGCAGCUCAUUGGCUGAAAUCAAAGCUUCGUUUCAUAAAUUAGCGAAACAAACUCACCCUGACCUCGCUCAUCACUCAAACGCCUUUAAUUCUCACCGUUUCAUUCAAAUCCUCGCUGCUUAUGAGAUUCUUUCGGACGCUGAGAAGAGGGCGCACUAUGACAGUUAUUUGCUAUCUCAGAGAAAGAAAGUGAUAGUGCCGAGACAAGGUUCGACAUUGUACAGAUACGAAUCGCGAAUGACUAUGAAUAAAGAGAUGGAAGUUGUUGAGUGGUUAAAGUGGUAUAGAUUGGCUAUAAAUGAUAUAUUGUCUCAGAGAGAGGUGGUGGCUGGAACUGGUUAUUUUGAUGUACUUGAAGCUGAUUUUUAUUCAGCCAUACAUGCAGCUUAUUAUGGACCUGUAAUUGAGUCCAUGGAUCUUCUUCCUGAUCGGUUUGAGGCGGAGGAAAGGUCUGUCUACGAAACUCCUGAGGUUCUGCAUUUGGUUUCGGGUCGUCAUCUUUUUGGAAUGGUCUGCCUGGCCGACAAGAUUCCUAAAUUAUCUUCUGCCUCUAAUAAAAAAUUAAAAAAUGCCUUUGCAUCUUUUGGUUUGGGAGUCUGUAAAUCUGUUGAGGAUACAUGUGUCUUGAAAAAUUCCAAUGCGGUGGAUGAUGCUGGAAUUUCUCAGACGCAUCCAGGGAAUAGUGCAAGUGAUAAAUCAGAUGCAUAUGAAGAUUUAGAAUUGUAUGUUUCUGGAAGGGUGGUGGCUGUGGCAACUAGAGUUCCUCCUAAAAACCAGGAUGACAGAGCAGUACAGAAUGAAGAUGCACAAGAUCAGAUACAUGUUUUUCUUAACUCGGAUGAUGAUCUUGUGCAUGCUAGCGAAGGUUUUUACAAGGAAUCUCUUUUGACUGGUGCUGUUGGUGCAAGGAUUCCACUAGGAACUAUAAAGGGAAUGGGCAGCAGUCCUGAAGAGGGAUCAUGCUUUGUCUAUGAUGGCUGUGGUACCAAAACUCAUGUGAUAAUGAAACAUAGAACAUUGAUGGUGAAGCAUAUGCACUGGUAUGGAGUAGGAGAUAAAGUUUCUAUUGUUGAAUGCAGAUGCAGCAGAGCCCGAUUGCCACCAAGCAAAUUUUGGCUGUUUGAGCCUCGUUGUGACAUGCACGACAUAGGUGGUUGGUAUGUUGAAACAUUCGGUAGAGAUAAGAAAGGUCGGACAGUUCCAUCUCAAAGGUAUUGGGAUGGAUUUGAUGGAAAUGAACAAAAUGACAAUUUGGACUUUCAGACAAUGCAAUUGAGCUAUCUCCAUCACUGUGCUUUGUUGAGGGCAUGUUGACUGCUAGCUGAGUUGGCUGAUAUCACAAGGUGGUAAGAUAAGCUAUGCUUUUACUUCUCCUCAUUCAUGGGAAUUAAAGAAUGUGCUUGUUAUUAUAUUGGAUUUUCAUAUACUCUUAUGCUAUUUCUUUUAAUAUAUUCAUUGUGUGUAGCCUUUCACUUGUUAUGAGCUUAUAAGAUACUUUGACCCUUUUUUGGCCCAAGGAAAAUGCAUGAUUUUACAUCUAUUCUAGUAUCAAUUAAGGGGGUUUUUCCUUCAUGUUAUUCAACAAUUAUUUUUUGAUUGUUUUGUGGCCUGGCAUUUCACAGACUCCUGUUAAUAUUUUGUUCUUGUAAUUGCUUAAUAUCAGUAAUGUCACAAAAUACAUAAUUUCACUAGCUGUGGUGAUCUCUCUGAUUUAUUCUCUCCUAUCAAAGUUAUAUGCACACACAAGUGCCAGAAACAUUGAUAAUUAAGAAAAUGCAUGGAAUAGUAUGUUGUUGGCAGAAAUAAUUCAAAAUUGCUUUUUUUAAACAAUGCCUCCACUUAUAUGUUCCCUUCAAGGCCUUUGCUGCCCUCAACCUUUUCACCAAGAAUCUUAGUCCCGCCAUUGGUAUUGUGUUUAGGGCGCAAUUAGAAAAUUCUUGGAAGAUGAUUGACCCCCCUUGAUAUUGUGUUUUUCAUUCAUCAUACAACCUAGUUGACCAGUUAACUGUUAGGAAAUUGUCCUUUUCAUAUGUUUCCUAUCCUUUUAAUGCACUAGAAUUAAGAAUUCAUUGAAUUCUUCGUCCUAAAGAAUUCAUCAGCUUUUUCUGCAUUCUUGCAGACACAUGCCCCCCCACACCCAAAGACACACAGACACACUCAUAUGUAUAGAUGAUAGAGAGAGAGAUGCUAACCUCAGUUGGCUUUACCCACAUUUGUCCAUCAUACCAUCCACUCUCUUCAUAGGGGAUCACAGCUGACAGAAGUCUAUCACCAACAUAACUCCAUCCCUGUGGUAUGCACAUUAAAAUGUGGUAGUUUCCAAAGGAUUACUUUAGAAAAAUGUAUGAAUUGGUGGUCAGUUUCAUGCUAAAAUGGAAAUGACUGAAAAGGGUGCAAUUUGAAUGUUAAUUAGUUGGGAUCACACCUCUUGUAUCUCCUGCAUACUGCUGGUUUGAUUGUGCAUUCAUCUAGACUACGUGGUAGUUCUAUAUUAGGACAAUUAGAGAAAAGAUAUGUUACAAUAUUUUAGAAUAUUCUGCCAUGGUAUGUUUCUAAUAUUUUGAGUGGGUAAAAUAUUCUUGCUGCCAGAGUUUAGUGUUUGAAUAAACCAUUGCAGAACAGAUAUAUCAAACUGUGCUUCACAACUGUAACACUUUUCAACGCUGAUUUUUUGAUAAGAAACUACCAUGUUAAGAUAACCAUCUGUUCAUGCAGUUACUUUGUGUCUAGCCUUCUUCCUGAUGAAUUGAAUAGAAUAUGUGUGGUGGAGGCUUUAAGAAUAUGGCCUUUCCAGUUGAGGAGCACCUUUCAGAACCUACCUUUUUUGGCUAAUACAUUCAGCAAGGGAGUGACUACAAACAAACUGGUUUUCUGUUAGGCUUCUCAUAGUUAUUUCCCUAGUAGUUUCCACCAUCACAACCAGUCAAAUGAUUUGUUUUAUUCCUAUAUUUAUGAAAAGAAUUAUUACUCCAUGACAAUACUGAGAGUUCUUUGGAUUGUGAUUUUGAUGGGUGUGAUGUAACAAUGAUGAUGAUGAAAAGAAGAUGAAGAUGAAGAUGAAGAUGAUACCAGAUAUAUUCUUAAGAUGAUUAAUGACACAAGGAAUAGAGUUCCUGUUCCAGCAGCUAGCACAAAUCUUAAUGGUUCCUGCAAGAUUGGAACACUGAAAUAAAGCCUUAAUAUUCGCAAGUAAAAAUCUUUUCACAGAUCAAAUAUGUCUACCUUAUAUCUAUCCUUUCUGAGUUUCUGAGAUACGUGAUUCUCCUCAUCUCUAUCAUUCCAUGUCUAUACCCUUCUAUCAGGUGGUUCUGCAUCUAAAGCUAAUUCUAAUAAUAGUUAUAGGUAGAGGAUAGGAUAGGAAGAGAGCGCAAGUGCCCUAAAAAACCUUGCUUGGCUUCAAAAGCAAAAAGCGCAGGCAGAACUGCUGUUUCCUUGUGCUUCAGCAUUGUAAAUAACUUAAGAAAUUCUUUUUGGACUUUUCAUGUGAUAACUAGCUUCAACUCUGGUUCAGAUGUUUCAUCAAUAUUCUUUUUUUGGAAAGAUGGUAUGCAUUUUGAACUUACCCUGGAAGGAUUGAAAGUUGCAGCUGCAAUCGGAACUCCAAGAACUGUGAAGGUUACUAACCAGAGUCCACCAAGGCGAAGUAAAAAGGGUCCUGGACCAAGUUCACCCCAAGAAUACAGGGGUCCCUCUUUCAAAGACGAGUACUCGUUCACCUAUUAAAGAACUCGGACCACUAAAAGUGCAGCGUGGCGGCAAAAGACAAAUAGGCUGCUCAUGUGGUUCAAGACGAGGCAUCCUCCUCUACCUUGCACGCAAUUGUUUGUGUAGUUCUCGUGUUUCUACGGGCAAAGACAUCGAUAGAGUAUGCUUUCUAACUCCAGCCAACUCAGAUUUCCUUUGUACAACUAAAGUAGAAUCCCACAGAAACAACCUUCGGUAGAACAAAUGAUCAUUGUCCUCCCACCAUUAAAAUGGUAAAAAGUACAAGGAGCCCAAACUAUCGUUGUAAAAAGCUAGGACUUGAAGGUAGCAGUCAGUAUUGCGGGGUCCAUCUAGUGCCAGGUACCCGAAGCAGUUUACAAUGGUAAUAUGAUUGGGUGUUUGCUAGUUACUUGGCUGGCGCUCCUUGCUGCAAAUAAUUGGUGAUGUUAAUGUAUGAAAUAUAUUUAUUAAACCUUUAAUAAUUAUCGUAUUGUAAUGGUAUUUGAGGAGGUCAAUAAAGAAGAAAAAAAAGAUCACGACUAUAGGGAUAAUGA